AUCUGUUCAAGAGUGCAAGAGAGGAGGAAUAUAUGUUGUCAGGCAGUAUAGACAAGUGCAUUGUCUAAAUUGGUUGUGCAAUGAUCUCAGUCACUACAGUCACUCGGACGAGAAAACAUAUGUUACUACCUCAUUAAGAACAUCAUUAAUCAGCUAUUCAGUCUUGGCUAUUUGCUCAGCAGAACCCGUCAGCUCAACCCCUCCAGUUGGAGAAUUGAGGUCGGCUUCCAUAUCUCUGGUAACUUGAAUCCUUGCUCCAGAUUGAAGCUGAAGGUACUUAAUAGUCUCUCCAGAUUAGUUGAGGCAUGAGGGCCUCUUUAACUUUUAACAAUGAACACCCAUAUAAACCAUACCAAAAAAAUACAUGAAACAGUCUAAAAAACUAUGAAACAAGACCAACAAUAAAAUAUUAAAUGAAACUUCAGCAAACAGACUCUUUGUGUAAACAAAAAUAGCUUCACGACAUUAAACCAUAAUUCAAUUAACAAAACUACACAAGUGUUGCAUAGUGCUCCAGUAAAUGAGCAGCCUACUAAUUACUUGAACUUAACAGAAUUGAGUGCAUAGGACCAGCACUCGGAGAACUAAAAGUGCAAGCCUAUUAAUUUUUUCAAGGAAAAAACAAUGAGUAUUAGGAACCUCUUCAAACCAGCAGUAUCAAGGAACCUUCAUGAGACUAGAUAAUAUAUUAAAUUGCAGUUAGAUUCGAAUCAUGAAGAGAGAAUUACUCUCAAAACAUACCAUCUCAUAUUUAUCUCUGUAAUUGUCACCUCAGAGAUGAGAACCAUAAAUGUAUAGAGCUGUCCUUUCCCACCUUAAGCCUCAGCCACUUAAUAUUGCCUCAGCCACUUCUCUAGUUGUCUUGAUACCCACCUUAAGCCACCAUGAAUGAUGAACCAAUUAAUUCAGAUUUUUUUGUUAAUUAAUUAAUGGAUUAAUUGAAUAAAAAAUACUACAACUGAACACAAAAUGAACCAAAUCAAGUAAAAUGAAAAAUUUCUAGCACUAUGAUCUUAUAUGAGAGCAUCUUUUAACAAAAAACUCAAUGAUAUACACAAUCAAAUAAAUAAGGAGAUCAAAAUCAGUGGUACCUGGUUUGAAGAAGAUGGAGAGACCGAAAUCUGUGGCUUUCAACAGCGAGUCCUCAACUGUACUCAACAAUAAAAAAUUCUCAGGCUUCAAAUCCCGAUGCAUCACUCCCAUCUAAUGACAAUUAGUUAUGCACCAUCAUCACCAUCUGCCGGCACAGCACGGCGGCAGCGUGCUCGGAGUAAUGUCCUUUCUCGAUGUUCCGAUCAAAGAGCUCACCGCCGGCGCAAAGCUCCAUAACUUGGUUCACGGAAUGGUUCACGGAGCGGUGUUAGCCUUUCCUCGAUUGUUCCAACACUUGUUUGCAGUUGGAAUUGAAGCAAAGCUUCACCGAGAAAGAAGAGGACGCCAUGGAAGCUCUCAUAAACCCUGGAACCAAAACAAAUCUAGAGAGAUUAACUACUUUAUUAAGUAACCGACCAACAAUUUCUCAUAUGUGAUAGCAAUUUGAAAAAAAAUGGAAGCACGUAAACCCUAGGUUAGAGAGAAAGUCGAGGUAGCACGGUUCCCAUCAGCUGAAAAUACAUUAUUUUUAAUUUUAAGUUUUCAAGUCCCGCUUUUUACCUCCGUGUUUUCUUGUAUAGAUAACAUUUUAAAAAAAACGUUAUCUAGUUAAAACCAAAAAAAUGCCCUUUUAAAUAGAUAACAUUUUUGCAUAUAUAUCUACAACAUUUUUUUUUAAAACGUUGUAAAAAAAAACCACAACAUUUUUUUAAAAAACAUUAUGGUUUAAGUGUUGUCUAUUAGGUACUUAACCGUUAAAAGUUGACACUAACUACUCUUGAGCCUUGCCUUUGCCUUUGUCCCUAUUAGAACCUUCUGCUACAUCGGCAUUAACUGAAAUAUUUCAUUUAAGCAAGAGUGAGGAACGAGUUUGCCCAACAAGUUAAAAUAUACAAUAAAUGAUAUAUAUCAUGAAUAGAAGAGUCUAGCUUUUUUAGCACUUCAGCAAUAAUCAAAAGAUUUUGAAGUAGCUGAAUAAUAAUUCAAUCUUAAUAAUAAAACUUUCUCCCAUUUCAUACUGAAUAACAUAUCAGAGAUGAAAGAGUAAAAUUCUUUUAAAGGUUCAAUAAUAUUCAAUUGAAUAAUGAGAAUUAACAAUACUGCAACAAUAUUCAAUAAAGUGGGAUAUACCCAGAUUUCAUGCUGAGUGAUCAUAAAAGGAUCAUGAACUAAUAGAUGAAUCAUUUAGUUAUUAAAACUAAAUUACUACAAGAAUAUAAAUUAGUUAUAAAAACUAAACUAUACUCUUCUACAAGUAUCUGGAGCGUCCAACUCCUUUGUACCCUAUAUUAUGCAUAAUACUCAAUAAUAGCGCAUAGGUCGAUUUACGACAUUAAAAUUUGUUCAUCUCAGUCUUACAUCACGAGUCCGUACCACAACAAUAUGGUUUGGAUUACUUUCAAAGAAAUACUAUGAUUUUAAUAAAUAAUAACAAAACUAAUCUAGCCAAAACCAAUGGCAUAGAUCUUCCAAUAACAAUUCAGUUCAUAAUAAAUAGAACAUUUCAUGCUUUAACAAAUAUUAGUCUUNNNNNNNNNNNNNNNNNNNNNNNNNNNNNNNNNNNNNNNNNNNNNNNNNNNNNNNNNNNNNNNNNNNNNNNNNNNNNNNNNNNNNNNNNNNNNNNNNNNNCCUUGAGGUUAUUCCUCUCAAGGCCUCUGUCAUUUCUCCCGCUAAUUUAUUCACAUCUCCAUUCACUGUUGUCCUAGGUUGGGUGUUAAGUAAAGAGCAGGGAUAUCACAGGAAUGUUGAAAUGACUAACAUUUUACAACACCACUAAUAAUUAUACCCAACAAUGAAUGCACAUUGUAUACUAACCGUGAUUGCUUAACAGUUAACACUGCAAGUCAACAACACAAGGAACUCUGCCAAGGUCUCCUCAGCAAUAGAUAGGAGUCUGCCAAAAAAUGAAAAUAAUAAAGAUAAUAAUCAACUAUCCAUAUAGGAGUUUGCACCAUUGGAGAGGGGAGAGAAACAGAAAGAGCUCAUGAAAUUGGCGCAAAUAGCAUGAACAUACCUUCCUUAUCAAUAUCAGAUCUGUUCAAGAGUGCAAGAGAGGAGGAAUAUAUGUUGUCAGGCAGUAUAGACAAGUGCAUUGUCUAAAUUGGUUGUGCAAUGAUCUCAGUCACUACAGUCACUCGGACGAGAAAACAUAUGUUACUACCUCAUUAAGAACAUCAUUAAUCAGCUAUUCAGUCUUGGCUAUUUGCUCAGCAGAACCCGUCAGCUCAACCCCUCCAGUUGGAGAAUUGAGGUCGGCUUCCAUAUCUCUGGUAACUUGAAUCCUUGCUCCAGAUUGAAGCUGAAGGUACUUAAUAGUCUCUCCAGAUUAGUUGAGGCAUGAGGGCCUCUUUAACUUUUAACAAUGAACACCCAUAUAAACCAUACCAAAAAAAUACAUGAAACAGUCUAAAAAACUAUGAAACAAGACCAACAAUAAAAUAUUAAAUGAAACUUCAGCAAACAGACUCUUUGUGUAAACAAAAAUAGCUUCACGACAUUAAACCAUAAUUCAAUUAACAAAACUACACAAGUGUUGCAUAGUGCUCCAGUAAAUGAGCAGCCUACUAAUUACUUGAACUUAACAGAAUUGAGUGCAUAGGACCAGCACUCGGAGAACUAAAAGUGCAAGCCUAUUAAUUUUUUCAAGGAAAAAACAAUGAGUAUUAGGAACCUCUUCAAACCAGCAGUAUCAAGGAACCUUCAUGAGACUAGAUAAUAUAUUAAAUUGCAGUUAGAUUCGAAUCAUGAAGAGAGAAUUACUCUCAAAACAUACCAUCUCAUAUUUAUCUCUGUAAUUGUCACCUCAGAGAUGAGAACCAUAAAUGUAUAGAGCUGUCCUUUCCCACCUUAAGCCUCAGCCACUUAAUAUUGCCUCAGCCACUUCUCUAGUUG
This 3984-nucleotide long non-coding RNA is filed under the name Panax ginseng (ginseng). Its description in RNAcentral is "long non-coding RNA (PGIN_LNC002347)". The record is from RNAcentral. Lineage: Eukaryota; Viridiplantae; Streptophyta; Magnoliopsida; Apiales; Araliaceae.